Molecule: transfer RNA, 68 nt
Filed under: Salmonella enterica subsp. enterica serovar Typhimurium
Lineage: Bacteria; Pseudomonadati; Pseudomonadota; Gammaproteobacteria; Enterobacterales; Enterobacteriaceae
Description: tRNA-Met
Rfam family: tRNA
About the family: Transfer RNA (tRNA) molecules are approximately 80 nucleotides in length. Their secondary structure includes four short double-helical elements and three loops (D, anti-codon, and T loops).
Source: RNAcentral
GGGGUGGAGCAGCCUGGUAGCUCGUCGGGCUCAUAACCCGAAGGUCGUCGGUUCAAAUCCGGCCCCUA